RNAcentral lists this ribosomal RNA (549 nucleotides) under uncultured Glomeromycotina. RNAcentral's name for it is "SSU rRNA". It matches the Rfam family "Eukaryotic small subunit ribosomal RNA", at positions 548 to 1098 of the family's 1831-position model. Lineage: Eukaryota; Fungi; Glomeromycota. The record is from RNAcentral.
UUGGAGGGCAAGUCUGGUGCCAGCAGCCGCGGUAAUUCCAGCUCCAAUAGCGUAUAUUAAAGUUGUUGCAGUUAAAAAGCUCGUAGUUGAGUUUCGGGGUUAGUAGGUUGGUCAUGCCACUGGUAUGUACUGGUCUCACUGAUUCCUCCUUCCUGAUGAGCCGUAAUGCCAUUAAUUUGGUGUCGCGAGGAGUCUGGACUGUUACUUUGAAAAAAUUAGAGUGUUUAAAGCAGGCUAACGCUUGAAUACAUUAGCAUGGAAUAAUGAAAUAGGACGUUCGAUCUUAUUUUGUUGGUUUCUAGGAUUGACGUAAUGAUUAAUAGGGAUAGUUGGGGGCAUUAGUAUUCAAUUGUCAGAGGUGAAAUUCUUGGAUUUAUUGAAGACUAACUACUGCGAAAGCAUUUGCCAAGGAUGUUUUCAUUAAUCAAGAACGAAAGUUAGGGGAUCGAAGACGAUCAGAUACCGUCGUAGUCUUAACCAUAAACUAUGCCGACUAGGGAUCGGACGAAGUUAAUAUUAUAAUGACGCGUUCGGCGCCUUACGGGAAAC